RNAcentral lists this long non-coding RNA (1927 nucleotides) under Felis catus (domestic cat). RNAcentral describes it as "lncRNA (ENSFCAG00000042223.2)". The record is from RNAcentral. Lineage: Eukaryota; Metazoa; Chordata; Mammalia; Carnivora; Felidae.
CCCCCACUGCACCCCCCCACCCCCCCCCCACACGCCUGGGACCUUACUGAUGGAGCCGCCAUAUUGGGUCACACAGGGACACACGGGCCUUUCACUCAGCGUCCCCUUCGAACGACACAGCGCAACAAUCCCACACCGGGUAUUGUUCUACGUGCUACGUUCUACGAAUAAUGAAAUCCCAACCCUCGGGGAGCUCCUAUUCCAAGCUCUACUCCCCACAGGGAAGGGGAGGGGAGGGGAGGGGAGGGGAGGGGACCGCUAAACAAAUACAACAUCAGUUGGUGAUGAAUGUGAAGAAGGAUAGAGUAGGAACAGGGGGGGAGGGGGCAGGCCGGCCUUUUUUUUUUUUUUUUUUAAAUAUGCUGGAAAAGGUCUCCUAAAAGAUAAUAGGGGGAAAGACGUAAAGCAGUAAGCCCCGUUAACGUCUGGUAUAAACAGCCCCGGGGGAGGGAACUGCAGGUUCAAAGCAUUCUGCUGUUGGAAUCAAUAAAUAACCCGGUCUUUUUCUCCCUCUACCUUCUGAUCUUCCUCCUCCACCGACUCAACUCCACUCCACUGGAGGCCAGAGAGCAAAGACAGAGUAGCUGGAAGGGGCAGGCAGCGAAGCACGGCUGGUCCAGAGAGCACGUGGAGACACGGAAACGGGGUUCGGUGCCCGUCUGUCCCAUAGCAGGGUCUCGCAGGAGCUGGUACGUGUGGAGACGACUAUGAAGCCUCAUAGAUUCAGCUUCCGGUGACACUCGGUCCUAGCAUUGGUCCCUGCCGGGCGGUGCAGCAGUCAGAUGCAUGGACCAACCAUCUCAUGUGCAGCAAAAGCAGAAAUCCAACCUGUGACAUCUCCCAGUGGGACUUCUCAGUCUGCAGCCGCAGCCAUGGAGACGGUUGCAGCCUCAACAAGACUGUUUUCUCCAUGCCCAGCGUGGACACGGAUGAGCAUUUUCAUGGGAAACCACCUGUGCAGAGUGACUGAGCCCAGAAUGGACAUCACCAGCCCCUCAUCAGCUAUUACCCAGUUCUGUGCCAGCUCCUCGGCCAUUCUUCUAAAGUUUCCUGGACCGUGGGUAGAGCUCCUGAGCUCCUCUGUGCAGAGCCCCCUCACCACCAUCUACAGAUGUCAAGGAACCUGGCCCUGUGAACCAGCACCUACCCUUUACAGUGGGGACCACAAAACCCCAGAGAGGGGUCUUGUUCACAGUCUCAAAGCAUUGGAUGGGCUAACUGCACCUCAAAGACAGGAAGUUGCCUCUGCUGGCAGGAACUUUGAGAUCGAGGAGAAGAGAGGCCUGCUUCUAGGGUCUGAGCCAGCCCGAGGGGUCCCCGGGCUUUGCCAGCAAGAACCAGGAACUGAACACCAGAGGCCCGGGGUGCAAAGAAACAUAUCAGCACAUCCCUACCACUUGCAUUGGGGGCGGCUCUAGUAGGUGAAGGAAGAAAGCCACCGUUUCGGGGCCACGAUGUGCAUCACCCGUCCCUUCCAGGACAUGCGGGCUUGGGCAAACUCCUUACCCCCAUUUUACAGCUGAGAAAAAGGCUGAGAAGCUAAGCCGUUCCUGCCCAUUUUCUAGCAUCAUACUGAGGAAGGGGCUCUGAAUUACAGCUUUCAUGAAGGACGGGUUUUCUCAGCAACCUGGUAUCCAUCUGGAACUCUGAGGUUGACCAACUACAGAAGGAGGGGCCUCCUUCCCCAAGCAGGGAGGUCUUUUAUCUCUAUGUCCUAAGGAGUCCUCGCUCCAGACAUCUAACAAGUGCUUUCUGUGUGAACAUCCAGUUGCCUGGCCUCUGUUUUGGGGAUGCUCACAAAGACCACCCAUGAUCAUUAUUAGCAAGGAAAGAUACAGGGCUGAGGGCCAGGCAGGUGCAGGCUUGAAUAUUCUUUCCCUUAGGAGCCUGGUGACUGUAGGGGUGGGACUUCACCUCCCUGAACCUU